UAGCACUUCUGAAAGAAGAGUUAGAUGUUAAUAGGUUAUGUUAUGCUUCCUUCAUUAACGGUUUAGAAUGAGAAAAUGAGACACAUCUAUGGAGAGGAGACUACGACCUUCAUUCCUUCCAGGGGAGGCUGACUGCAUCAUUCUGGGUGGUGAGCUUGGUGUUACUACAAUAAUUUAACAUCGAAGAGAAGCUCUCCAAGUGAUUCAAGGGCAUUCACACCUGUUCUUCCGAG
RNAcentral lists this long non-coding RNA (233 nucleotides) under Homo sapiens (human). RNAcentral describes it as "non-protein coding lnc-ZNF516-7:1". Lineage: Eukaryota; Metazoa; Chordata; Mammalia; Primates; Hominidae. The record is from RNAcentral.